GACAGAGGGGGCAAGCGUUGCUCGGAAUUACUGGGCGUAAAGCGCGUGUAGGCGGCUUGGCAAGUCGGGUGUGAAAGCCCUGGGCUCAACCUAGGAAGUGCACUCGAAACUGCUUCGCUUGAGUGUCGGAGAGGAAAGCGGAAUUCUCGGUGUAGAGGUGAAAUUCGUAGAUAUCGAGAGGAACACCGGUGGCGAAGGCGGCUUUCUGGACGAUUACUGACGCUGAGACGCGAAAGCGUGGGGAGCAAACAGG
Molecule: ribosomal RNA, 253 nt
Filed under: uncultured bacterium
Lineage: Bacteria
Description: partial 16S ribosomal RNA
Rfam family: Bacterial small subunit ribosomal RNA
Source: RNAcentral